ACUCAAAUGAAUUGACGGGGACCCGCACAAGCGGUGGAGCGUGUUGUUUAAUUCGAUGGUAAGCGAAGAACCUUACCCAGGUUUGACAUCUUCGGAAGGCUUCCGAAAGGAAACUGUGCCGUAAGGAACCGAAUGACAGGUGAUGCAUGGCCGUCGUCAGCUCGUGUCGUGAGAUGUUUGGUUAAGUCCAUCAACGAGCGCAACCCUUAUAGUUAGUUGUAUUUCUCUAGCUAGACUGCCCUGGUAACAGGGAGGAAGGAGGGGAUGAUGUCAGGUCCGUAUCUCCCUUACAUCUGGGGCUACAAACACGCUACAAUGGCCGGUACAAAGGGCAGCCAAGUCGCGAGACGGAGCAAAUCCCAUCAAAGCCGGUCUCAGUUCGGAUUGCAGGCUGAAACUCGCCUGCAUGAAGCCGGAAUCGCUAGUAACGGUGAGUCAGCACAUCACCGUGAAUACGUUCCCGGGUCUUGUACACACCGCCCGU
This 484-nucleotide ribosomal RNA is filed under the name uncultured bacterium. RNAcentral's name for it is "partial 16S ribosomal RNA". It matches the Rfam family "Bacterial small subunit ribosomal RNA", at positions 899 to 1397 of the family's 1533-position model. The record is from RNAcentral.